GAUGAACGCUAGCUACAGGCUUAACACAUGCAAGUCGAGGGGUAACGAGAGGAAAGCUUGCUUUCCUUGUCGACGACCGGCGCACGGGUGAGUAACGCGUAUCCAACCUGCCCCCAACUAGGGAAUAACCUUGCGAAAGUAAGACUAAUACCCUAUAAUUUCCUCAGAUGACAUCUGACGAGGAAUAAAGAUUUAUCGGUUGUGGAUGGGGAUGCGUCUGAUUAGCUGGUUGGCGGGGUAAGGGCCCACCAAGGAAAUGAUAAGUGGGGGUUCUGAGAGGAAGGUCCCCCACAUUGGAACUGAGACACGGUCCAAACUCCUACGGGAGGCAGAAGUGAGGAAUAGUGGACAAGGGGCGAAAGCCUGAACCAGCAAGGUAGGGUGCAGGAUGACGGCCCUAUGGGUUGUAAACUGCUUUUAUACAGGAAUAAAGUUAGCCACGUGUGGUUAUUUGUAGGUACUGUAUGAAUAAGGCCCGGCUAAUUCCGUGCCAGCCGCCGCAGUAA
This 506-nucleotide ribosomal RNA is filed under the name uncultured bacterium. Its description in RNAcentral is "partial 16S ribosomal RNA". It matches the Rfam family "Bacterial small subunit ribosomal RNA", at positions 28 to 523 of the family's 1533-position model. The record is from RNAcentral.